This 126-nucleotide microRNA precursor is filed under the name Myotis lucifugus (little brown bat). RNAcentral describes it as "mir-9193 microRNA precursor family". It matches the Rfam family "mir-9193 microRNA precursor family". Lineage: Eukaryota; Metazoa; Chordata; Mammalia; Chiroptera; Vespertilionidae. The record is from Rfam by way of RNAcentral.
UGUGCACCAGGGGGGUCCCUCAGCCUGGCCUGUGCCCUCUCGACAUCUGGGAACCCUCGAGGGAUGUAAGAGAGCCAGUUUCAGCCUGAUCCCGCAGGCCAGGCUGAGGGACCCCACUGGUGCACA